UAUAAUGGGUCAGCGACUUAUAUUCUGUAGCAAGGUUAACCGUAUAGGGGAGCCGAAGGGAAACCGAGUCUUAACCGGGCGUUAAGUUGCAGGGUAUAGACCCGAAACCCGGUGAUCUAGCCAUGGGCAGGUUGAAGGUUGGGUAACACUAACUGGAGGACCGAACCGACUAAUGUUGAAAAAUUAGCGGAUGACUUGUGGCUGGGGGUGAAAGGCCAAUCAAACCGGGAGAUAGCUGGUUCUCCCCGAAAGCUAUUUAGGUAGCGCCUCGUGAACUCAUCUUCGGGGGUAGAGCACUGUUUCGGCUAGGGGGUCAUCCCGACUUACCAACCCGAUGCAAACUGCGAAUACCGAAGAAUGUUAUCACGGGAGACACACGGCGGGUGCUAACGUCCGUCGUGAAGAGGGAAACAACCCAGACCGCCAGCUAAGGUCCCAAAGUCACAGUUAAGUGGGAAACGAUGUGGGAAGGCUCAGACAGCCAGGAUGUUGGCUUAGAAGCAGCCAUCAUUUAAAGAAAGCGUAAUAGCUCACUGGUCGAGUCGGCCUGCGCGGAAGAUGUAACGGGGCUAAACUGUGCACCGAAGCUGCGGCAGCGACGCUUAUGCGUUGUUGGGUAGGGGAGCGUUCUGUAAGCCUGCGAAGGUGUCCUGUGAGGGAUGCUGGAGGUAUCAGAAGUGCGAAUGCUGACAUAAGUAACGAUAAUGCGGGUGAAAAGCCCGCUCGCCGGAAGACCAAGGGUUCCUGUCCAACGUUAAUCGGGGCAGGGUGAGUCGACCCCUAAGGCGAGGCCGAAAGGCGUAGUCGAUGGGAAACGGGUUAAUAUUCCCGUACUUGGUGUUACUGCGAAGGGGGGACGGAGAAGGCUAUGUUGGCCGGGCGACGGUUGUCCCGGUUUAAGCGUGUAGGUGUGUGUUCCAGGUAAAUCCGGUUCACUUUAACACUGAGGCGUGAUGACGAGGCACUACGGUGCUGAAGCAACAAAUGCCCUGCUUCCAGGAAAAGCCUCUAAGCAUCAGGUAACAUCAAAUCGUACCCCAAACCGACACAGGUGGUCAGGUAGAGAAUACCAAGGCGCUUGAGAGAACUCGGGUGAAGGAACUAGGCAAAAUGGUGCCGUAACUUCGGGAGAAGGCACGCUGACACGUAGGUGAAGU
This 1157-nucleotide ribosomal RNA is filed under the name Salmonella enterica subsp. enterica serovar Kentucky. Its description in RNAcentral is "partial 23S ribosomal RNA". It matches the Rfam family "Bacterial large subunit ribosomal RNA", at positions 611 to 1772 of the family's 2925-position model. The record is from RNAcentral. Lineage: Bacteria; Pseudomonadati; Pseudomonadota; Gammaproteobacteria; Enterobacterales; Enterobacteriaceae.